AUGGAUCCGCCAAAGGAUGCAUCUCCAUCACCGAAACUGCACACGAGGCUGAGGGUUUGGGAGUUUGCAGACCGUUAUGUAUUUGAACCGGUCGAUGGCCUUGCUGACCUGUUCCUCUCAGUAAGCCGGACCAAUGGAUCUAUGAACCUAGUGCAAGAGUUGCCACCGCGUGGCCCCUCGGCAAACCCAAAAGUUAGGAUAGUGUUUGGUGUGGUAGGAGUGCUCAAGCUUGCAGUUGGAUCAUGUUGUCUGGUCAUCACUGACCGUGAUUGCGUCGGAUCCUACAUGGGACAUGCUGUUUUCAAAGUUACAGGACUAAAAGUUCUCCCCUGCACUACCGCAUCUUCGGCCGAGCAGAAAAAGAUGGAGAGCGAAUUUUCAGACCUCUUGGAUGCUGCAGAGAGGAGUAUAGGCCUGUACUUCUCCUAUGAGGCCAACUUGACACUUACUUUACAGAGGGUAUAUGAUCUUGGGGACACGUUCAAAGCACUUCCACUUUGGAGACAGGCAGAACGUAGAUUUAUGUGGAAUGGUUACUUGUUGGAGCCUCUCAUUGAGAACAAACUGGACCAAUACUUAUUACCGGUCAUUCAAGGAAGUUUUCAGAAUAUACAUGCAGAAGUUGGAUCAGAUAAAGUAGUAGUAACCAUGAUUGCACGCAGGUGCACAAGAAGGAUAGGUACACGAUGUUGGAGACGGGGUGCUGAUCCAGAGGGCUAUGCAGCAAAUUUUGUUGAAUCAGAGCAGAUAAUGCAAACAAAAGGAUAUACAGCAUCCUAUGUACAAGUUCGAGGUUCUAUGCCUUUUUUGUGGGAGCAGAUAGUUGAUUUGACAUAUAAACCUAGUUUUGACAUUGUUAGAGUGGAGGAGGCGGCUCGUGUGCUUGAGCGACACUUUCAUGAUUUACAAAAGAAAUAUGGAGCUGUCGUGGGUAUUGAUCUUGUCAAUACAACUGGUGGUGAAGGCCGCCUGUAUGAAAGAUAUGCAAAAUCGAUUGAGCCUAUUCUCACUGAAGAUAUAAGAUUCAUACAUUUUGACUUCCAUAAAAUAUGUGGUCAUAUUCAUUUUGAGCGCCUUUCACAGUUGUAUGAUCAAAUUGAGGAUUAUCUUAAGAAGCAUAAGUACUUCCUUUUGGAUGAUCAAGGCAAGAAAAUGGUGGGGCAGACUGGCACUGUCAGAACAAAUUGUGUCGAUUGCUUAGAUCGUACUAAUGUAACUCAGAGCAUGGUUGGAAGAAAAACUCUUGAAAGCCAGCUCCAACAACUAGGAGUUUUUGGUGGUAACGAUACAAUCAGCAAUUACCCAGCUUUCGAUGCAGAUUACAAAGUUUUGUGGGCAAAUCAUGGAGAUGCAAUAAGCACUCAGUACUCUGGCACUCCUGCUCUGAAGGGAGACUUUGUCCGGUAUGGGAAACGGACUACUCAGGGAAUUUUUAAUGAUCUGUGGAAUGCACUUGCUAGAUACUACUUCAACAACUUUGCAGAUGGUACUAAGCAGGAUGCCAUGGACCUUCUUCAAGGACAUUACGUAUCAUCAGUUAGUCGGGACGCCGCGCUUCCAAGCAAACCCGGAGUUAUGCAGUCCUUCCGUGUUGCUUUUGCAUUGAUUUUUUGCGCUGCUAUGUUCAUGCUUAUGUCUCUACGACAAGCCCGGAAUGAUCUUCGCCACUUGGUGGUAGCACUUGUGUGGGCCGGUCUGUGCGUUGGCAUUGCACUAUAUGUCAAAAAGAACGGUAGGAAGUUCUGCAACCGACCUCGUUUUUACCUGUCACGCAAUUGA
Molecule: ribosomal RNA, 1779 nt
Filed under: Triticum aestivum (bread wheat)
Lineage: Eukaryota; Viridiplantae; Streptophyta; Magnoliopsida; Poales; Poaceae
Description: partial small subunit ribosomal RNA
Source: RNAcentral